Molecule: transfer RNA, 88 nt
Filed under: compost metagenome
Description: tRNA-Leu
Rfam family: tRNA
About the family: Transfer RNA (tRNA) molecules are approximately 80 nucleotides in length. Their secondary structure includes four short double-helical elements and three loops (D, anti-codon, and T loops).
Source: RNAcentral
GCCCGAAUGGUGAAAUUGGUAAACACAGGGGAUUUAAAAUCCCCCGGUCGCAUAGACCUUGCCGGUUCGACCCCGGCUUCGGGUACCA